This 244-nucleotide ribosomal RNA is filed under the name uncultured bacterium. Its description in RNAcentral is "partial 16S ribosomal RNA". It matches the Rfam family "Bacterial small subunit ribosomal RNA", at positions 118 to 353 of the family's 1533-position model. The record is from RNAcentral.
UGGGCAAUCUGCCCUAAAGACUGGGAUACCACUUGGAAACAGGUGCUAAUACCGGAUAACAACAUGAAUCGCAUGAUUCAAGUUUGAAAGGCGGCGCAAGCUGUCACUUUAGGAUGAGCCCGCGGCGCAUUAGCUAGUUGGUGGGGUAAAGGCCUACCAAGGCAAUGAUGCGUAGCCGAGUUGAGAGACUGAUCGGCCACAUUGGGACUGAGACACGGCCCAAACUCCUACGGGAGGCAGCAUG